This 756-nucleotide ribosomal RNA is filed under the name uncultured bacterium. Its description in RNAcentral is "bacterial SSU rRNA". It matches the Rfam family "Bacterial small subunit ribosomal RNA", at positions 8 to 796 of the family's 1533-position model. The record is from RNAcentral.
AGAGUUUGAUCCUGGCUCAGAAUCAACGCUGGCGGCGCGCUUAACACAUGCAAGUCGAACGAGAAAGUGGAGCAAUCCAUGAGUAAAGUGGCGUACGGGUGAGUAACACGUGGGUAAUCUACCUUUUAGUGAGGAAUAACGAUGGGAAACCGUCGCUAAUACCGCAUGAGCCCGAGAGGGGAAAGUCGAAAGACGCUGAAAGAGGAGCCCGCGGCCGAUUAGCUAGUUGGUGAGGUAAGAGCCCACCAAGGCAAAGAUCGGUAGCCGGCCUGAGAGGGCACACGGCCACACUGGCACUGAAACACGGGCCAGACUCCUACGGGAGGCAGCAGUGGGGAAUCUUGCACAAUGGGGGAAACCCUGAUGCAGCGACGCCGCGUGAGCGAUGAAGCCCUUCGGGGUGUAAAGCUCUUUCGGCAGGGAAGAUUAUGACGGUACCUGCAGAAGCAGCUGCGGCUAACUACGUGCCAGCAGCCGCGGUAAUACGUAGGCAGCGAGCGUUGUUCGGAGUUACUGGGCGUAAAGGGUGUGUAGGCGGUUCUUUAAGUUUGGUGUGAAAUCUCCCGGCUCAACCGGGAGGGUGCGCCGAAUACUGAGGGACUAGAGUGUGGGAGAGGAAAGUGGAAUUCCUGGUGUAGCGGUGAAAUGCGUAGAUAUCAGGAGGAACACCGGUGGUGUAGACGGCUUUCUGGACCGUAACUGACGCUGAGACACGAAAGCGUGGGUAGCAAACAGGAUUAGAUACCCCCGUAGUCC